RNAcentral lists this ribosomal RNA (645 nucleotides) under uncultured bacterium. Its description in RNAcentral is "bacterial SSU rRNA". It matches the Rfam family "Bacterial small subunit ribosomal RNA", at positions 229 to 888 of the family's 1533-position model. The record is from RNAcentral.
AUUCGCGGCCUAUCAGCUUGUUGGAGAGGUAACGGCUCACCAAGGCAUCGACGGGUAGCUGGUCUGAGAGGAUGAUCAGCCACACUGGGACUGAGACACGGCCCAGACUCCUACGGGAGGCAGCAGUGGGGAAUCUUGCACGAUGGGCGAAAGCCUGAUGCAGCAACGCCGCGUGCGGGAAGAAGGCCCUAGGGUUGUAAACCGCUUUCAGUAGGGAAGAAAAUGACGGUACCUACAGAAGAAGGUGCGGCCAACUACGUGCCAGCGGCCGCGGUGACACGUAGGCACCAAGCGUUAUCCGGAUUUAUUGGGCGUAAAGAGCUCGUAGGCGGUUUGGUAAGUCGGGUGUGAAAACUCUGGGCUCAACCCAGAGAGGCCACCCGAUACUGCUAUGACUAGAGUACGGUAGGGGAGCGGGGAAUUCAUGGUGUAGCGGUGAAAUGCGCAGAUAUCAUGAGGAACACCAGCGGCGAAGGCGCCGCUCUGGGCCGUAACUGACGCUGAGGAGCGAAAGCAUGGGUAGCAAACAGGAUUAGAUACCCUGGUAGUCCAUGCCGUAAACGUUGGGCACUAGGUGUGGGUCUCAACCAACGAGAUCCGCGCCGUCGCUAACGCAUUAAGUGCCCCGCCUGGGGAGUACGGAAU